RNAcentral lists this long non-coding RNA (724 nucleotides) under Glycine max (soybean). Its description in RNAcentral is "long non-coding RNA (GMAX_LNC003329)". Lineage: Eukaryota; Viridiplantae; Streptophyta; Magnoliopsida; Fabales; Fabaceae. The record is from RNAcentral.
UUUCUCUCUCACUCCUUAAAGCUAGAGAGAUAGUGGUACACAAACAAACUACAAAAGCCAGCCAUGCACGUGCAUGAGAAACACAGAUCAGAAAAGAAGAUGAUAGUGGGGCCUACCUAGUUUGAGUUGGGGUCGAGUGAAAAGAAAGAUGGGUUUUCCCCACAAACACGACGAAGACUAAUGUGAGAAGGUAGAAGUCACCUUGGUAGGUGCCAAAUAAAAAUAUUGUGUAAUUUGAUAUGUUAGAUAUUAUCAACGUUCAAAUAAGUGGGGAUUAUGAUAGAAAUGUUUAUACCACGAUAAAUUUAAAAAAAUAGAACUCACCUUUGUCCUCUUCUAGUCUUCCUUUCGUCUUCUCCAUUGUCGGUGAUGGUCGGGUGCAUUUCCUUCUAUUUCUUACUCUGCAUCUCGUAUUCCUUGUUAACGAAAAAGAUUGAAUCUCACAGCAACAUCUGGAUCGACAUCGAUUCUUUUCACGUGUGAGAUGUUACUGGACAUUGGAGUUUUUUGAAAAUGAAUUUUUGCCUAAGGGUUUGGCUCUUGCUUGAGGUUGUCCUUAAAGAGGAUGAGGGAAAAGACGAGCAUUUGACGAAGAGGCGAAAAGAACCUUUGUCGCUUCAAUCAUAUUUGCAAAAAAAAGUCAAAAACCAGAUUCGCGUCUUUGCUUCAAAUCGGUGUCUCCGCUUUGUUCUGUUUGUGACUUGAGUGUCAUCGAAUUUGAAAA